AUAGCGUAUAUUAAAGUUGUUGCAGUUAAAAAGCUCGUAGUUGGAUCUCGGGUUUAGGCCUGCGGUGCAGUUUAGGCUGCUUACUGCUCGUCCUGACCUACCUGCCGGUUUUCCCUCGGUGCUCUUAAGUGAGUGUCUUGGGUGGCCGGAACGUUUACUUUGAAAAAAUUAGAGUGCUCAAAGCAGGCUUCUGCCUGAAUAUUAGUGCAUGGAAUAAUCGAAUAGGACCUCGGUUCUAUUUUGUUGGUUUUCGGAACUCGAGGUAAUGAUUAAGAGGGACAGACGGGGGCAUUCGUAUUACGGUGUUAGAGGUGAAAUUCUUGGAUCGCCGUAAGACGAACUACUGCGAAAGCAUUUGCCAAGAAUGUUUUCAUUAAUCAAGAACGAAAGUCAGAGGUUCGAAGACGAUCAGAUACCGUCGUAGUUCUGACCAUAAACGAUGCCAACUAGCGAUCCGCCGGAGUUGUUUGAAUGACUCGGCGAGCAGCUUCCGGGAAACCAAAGUGUUUGGGUUCCGGGGGAAGUAUGGUUGCAAAGCUGAAACUUAAAG
RNAcentral lists this ribosomal RNA (550 nucleotides) under uncultured metazoan. RNAcentral's name for it is "SSU rRNA". It matches the Rfam family "Eukaryotic small subunit ribosomal RNA", at positions 594 to 1149 of the family's 1831-position model. The record is from RNAcentral. Lineage: Eukaryota; Metazoa.